Molecule: transfer RNA, 64 nt
Filed under: Loxodonta africana (African savanna elephant)
Lineage: Eukaryota; Metazoa; Chordata; Mammalia; Proboscidea; Elephantidae
Source: Rfam by way of RNAcentral
CUGGUGGCCCAAUGGUUAAGUGAUCAGUUGCUAACUGAAAGUUUGUUGGUUCAAACCAACCCAG